UACGAAGGGGGCUAGCGUUGCUCGGAAUCACUGGGCGUAAAGGGCGCGUAGGCGGUUCGUACAGUCAGACGUGAAAUUCCUGGGCUCAACCUGGGGGCUGCGUUUGAUACGUGCGGACUUGAGUGCGGAAGAGGGUCGUGGAAUUCCCAGUGUAGAGGUGAAAUUCGUAGAUAUUGGGAAGAACACCGGUGGCGAAGGCGGCGACCUGGUCCGAUACUGACGGCUGAGGCGCGAAAGCGUGGGGAGCAAACAGG
Molecule: ribosomal RNA, 254 nt
Filed under: uncultured bacterium
Lineage: Bacteria
Description: partial 16S ribosomal RNA
Rfam family: Bacterial small subunit ribosomal RNA
Source: RNAcentral